AGUGAACGCUGGCGGCAGGCCUAACACAUGCAAGUCGAACGGAAGAACAGUGCUUGCUCGUGGUUUCAGCGGGCGACUGGCGAGUGAGUCCUGUGAAUCUCCCUAUCUUCUUUUUAGAACGGCCUAAAGCAGGCGCUCAUACCGCAUACCCGCUGACGACGAAAGUGGGGGAGCUUCGGAUCUCACGCUCUCUGGUGAGCGUAGGUCGGGUUAGCUAGUUAGUGGGUUGAAGGGCUACCAGGCCGACGAUCCGUAACUGGUCUGAGAGGAUGAUCAGUCACACUGGAACUGAGACACGGUCCAGACUCCUACGGGAGGCAGCAGUGGGGAAUAUUGGACAAUGGGGGAAAGCCUGAUACAGCCAUACCGCGUGUGUGAAGAAGGCCUUCGGAUUGUAAAGCCCUUUAGGUGGGGAGGAAGGGCAGUAGGUUAAUACCCUGCUGUUUUGACGUUACCGAGAGAAUAAGCACCGGCUAACUUCGUG
Molecule: ribosomal RNA, 484 nt
Filed under: uncultured bacterium
Lineage: Bacteria
Description: partial 16S ribosomal RNA
Rfam family: Bacterial small subunit ribosomal RNA
Source: RNAcentral